AGAUUACACAUAUUCCUGGAUUUAAAAGCAUUUAUAGGGUAGGUUUCCUGGACCCAGAUUACACAUAUUCCUGGAUUUAAAAGCAUUUAUAGGGUAGGUUUCCCGGACCCAGAUUACACAUAUUCCUGGAUUUAAAAGCAUUUAUAGGGUAGGUUUCCCGGACCCAGAUUACACAUAUUCCUGGAUUUAAAAGCAUUUAUAGGGUAGGUUUCCCGGACCCAGAUUACACAUAUUCCUGGAUUUAAAAGCAUUUAUAGGGUAGGUUUCCCGGACCCAGAUUACACAUAUUCCUGGAUUUAAAAGCAUUUAUAGGGUAGGUUUCCUGGACCCAGAUUACACAUAUUCCUGGAUUUAAAAGCAUUUAUAGGGUAGGUUUCCUGGACCCAGAUUACACAUAUUCCUGGAUUUAAAAGCAUUUAUAGGGUAGGUUUCCUGGACCCAGAUUACACAUAUUCCUGGAUUUAAAAGCAUUUAUAGGGUAGGUUUCCUGGACCCAGAUUACACAUAUUCCUGGAUUUAAAAGCAUUUAUAGGGUAGGUUUCCUGGACCCAGAUUACACAUAUUCCUGGAUUUAAAAGCAUUUAUAGGGUAGGUUUCCUGGACCCAGAUUACACAUAUUCCUGGAUUUAAAAGCAUUUAUAGGGUAGGUUUCCUGGACCCAGAUUACACAUAUUCCUGGAUUUAAAAGCAUUUAUAGGGUAGGUUUCCUGGACCCAGAUUACACAUAUUCCUGGAUUUAAAAGCAUUUAUAGGGUAGGUUUCCUGGACCCAGAUUACACAUAUUCCUGGAUUUAAAAGCAUUUAUAGGGUAGGUUUCCUGGACCCAGAUUACACAUAUUCCUGGAUUUAAAAGCAUUUAUAGGGUAGGUUUCCUGGACCCAGAUUACACAUAUUCCUGGAUUUAAAAGCAUUUAUAGGGUAGGUUUCCUGGACCCAGAUUACACAUAUUCCUGGAUUUAAAAGCAUUUAUAGGGUAGGUUUCCCGGACCCAGAUUACACAUAUUCCUGGAUUUAAAAGCAUUUAUAGGGUAGGUUUCCCGGACCCAGAUUACACAUAUUCCUGGAUUUAAAAGCAUUUAUAGGGUAGGUUUCCCGGACCCAGAUUACACAUAUUCCUGGAUUUAAAAGCAUUUAUAGGGUAGGUUUCCCGGACCCAGAUUACACAUAUUCCUGGAUUUAAAAGCAUUUAUAGGGUAGGUUUCCCGGACCCAGAUUUAGCCUCGUCCUAACACAUUAAACAUAGCUUCUUAGUUCAGGAUUAAAAAACUAUGUUAAUAUCUCCAUGUACACUAUGUAACAAAAUACAUGUACAAUUCUUCCUACUUUAAACAUUUAUCCGAUGAAGCUAAACUAUCCCUGUUUGAAAAGACAGGUCCUGCUC
Molecule: long non-coding RNA, 1381 nt
Organism: Oncorhynchus keta (chum salmon)
Lineage: Eukaryota; Metazoa; Chordata; Actinopteri; Salmoniformes; Salmonidae
Exons: 3
Source: RefSeq, a predicted model, not a curated record